GACGAACGCUGGCGGCGUGCUUAACACAUGCAAGUCGAACGGAAAGGCCCUGCUUUUGUGUGGUGCUCGAGUGGCGAACGGGUGAGUAACACGUGAGUAACCUGCCCUUGACUUUGGGAUAACUUCAGGAAACUGGGGCUAAUACCGGAUAGGAGCUCCUGCUGCAUGGUGGGGGUUGGAAAGUUUCGGCGGUUGUGGAUGGACUCGCGGCUUAUCAGCUUGUUGGUGGGGUAGUGGCUUACCAAGGCUUUGACGGGUAGCCGGCCUGAGAGGGUGACCGGCCACAUUGGGACUGAGAUACGGCCCAGACUCCUACGGGAGGCAGCAGUGGGGAAUAUUGCACAAUGGGCGGAAGCCUGAUGCAGCAACGCCGCGUGCGGGAUGACGGCCUUCGGGUUGUAAACCGCUUUCGCCUGUGACGAAGAGUGAGUGACGGUAAUGGGUAAAGAAGCAACGGCUAACUACGUG
This 468-nucleotide ribosomal RNA is filed under the name uncultured bacterium. RNAcentral describes it as "partial 16S ribosomal RNA". It matches the Rfam family "Bacterial small subunit ribosomal RNA", at positions 28 to 507 of the family's 1533-position model. The record is from RNAcentral.